AGGGAAUAUUGCACAAUGGGCGAAAGCCUGAUGCAGCAACGCCGCGUGCGCGAUGAAGGCCUUCGGGUUGUAAAGCGCUUUUCGGGGAGACGAGGAAGGACGGUAUCCCCGGAAUAAGGCUCGGCUAACUACGUGCCAGCAGCCGCGGUAAAACGUAGGAGCCAAGCGUUAUCCGAAUUCACUGGGCGUAAAGCGCGUGCAGGCGGUAUGGCAAGUUGGAUGUGAAAUCUCCCGGCUCAACUGGGAGAGGCCGCUCAAUACUGCCAAACUAGAGGGCGACAGAGGGAGGUGGAAUUCCGGGUGUAGUGGUGAAAUGCGUAGAUAUCCGGAGGAACACCAGAGGCGAAGGCGACCUCCUGGGUCGCACCUGACGCUCAGACGCGAAAGCUAGGGGAGCAAACGGGAUUAGAAACCCCGGUAGUCCUAGCCGUAAACGAUGUAGACUGGGUGUCGGCGGGGUAAAAGCCGUCGGUGCCGAAGCCAACGCGAUAAGUCUACCGCCUGGGGACUACGGCCGCAAGGUUA
Molecule: ribosomal RNA, 525 nt
Filed under: uncultured Chloroflexota bacterium
Lineage: Bacteria; Bacillati; Chloroflexota
Description: bacterial SSU rRNA
Rfam family: Bacterial small subunit ribosomal RNA
Source: RNAcentral